GACAGGGGGUGCAAACGUUGUUCGGAUUUACUGGGCGUAAAGCGCGUGUAGGCGGCUUGGCAAGUUGGAUGUGAAAGCCCACGGCUCAACCGUGGAAGCGCAUCCAAAACUGCUUCGCUCGAGUCUCGGAGAGGAAGGUGGAAUGCUUGGUGUAGAGGUGAAAUUCGUAGAUAUCAAGCAGAACACCUGCGGCGAAGGCGGCCUUCUGGACGAUGACUGACGCUGAGACGCGAAAGCGUGGGGAGCAGACAGG
Molecule: ribosomal RNA, 253 nt
Filed under: uncultured bacterium
Lineage: Bacteria
Description: partial 16S ribosomal RNA
Rfam family: Bacterial small subunit ribosomal RNA
Source: RNAcentral